GGAAAUCCUGUUUGUCUUAAACCAAAAUACAGGGACAGGCUGAUACUGAUGUCCAAGUCACUGGAGUUUCUUGAUGGAAAAGAAAUAAAAAACCUGGAAAGACAAUUCCUAAUGAAUUGGAAAGCAUCCAAAGAGGCCAAGAAAAUCAGCAAGAAAAGGAGGAACAGAAGUGAGGAUCAAAACAACUCCUACAUAAGUGGGUAAGCCAAAAGUAGUCUUUUUCUCUGAUGUACAGAGAUAUCUUGGAAAGGCAUCUUCAAAGUUUUCUCAAGAAGAUAAAACUACAAUUACUGAAGAUAUAGGGAAUCUAUCCUUGAAGGAAUCUGAAAGCUUGCUAACAAAAACCGAUAUCCAUGAACCUCACCUUCUCCAAAACCCAAAAGUAAAGGAAAAUUUGUCUGAGAAUAAGGAGUAAAUUCUGCCUCCAGUGAUUUGAUUUCUUCAUAGAACGAGGCAACAGCGUGUUUUGAGGGUUUAUAGACUUCGUUUAUCUUGGUGUGUAUGUUGUUUUUUUCUUUAUAGAAUCUGAGACUUUGCUUUAUGUGUGUGAAUUCUGGGAUCUAUUUACUCUAUUAGCUGUUAAAUAAAAUUUACCAGGAAAU
Molecule: long non-coding RNA, 602 nt
Filed under: Rattus norvegicus (Norway rat)
Lineage: Eukaryota; Metazoa; Chordata; Mammalia; Rodentia; Muridae
Description: long non-coding RNA NONRATT022041
Source: RNAcentral